RNAcentral lists this ribosomal RNA (440 nucleotides) under uncultured bacterium. Its description in RNAcentral is "partial 16S ribosomal RNA". It matches the Rfam family "Bacterial small subunit ribosomal RNA", at positions 338 to 795 of the family's 1533-position model. The record is from RNAcentral.
CCUACGGGAGGCAGCAGUGGGGAAUAUUGCUCAAUGGGGGAAACCCUGAUGCAGCGACGCCGCGUGAGUGAAGAAGUAAUUCGUUAUGUAAAGCUCUAUCAGCAGGGAAGAAAAUGACGGUACCUGACUAAGAAGCCCCGUCUAACUACGUGCCAGCAGCCGCGGUAAUACGUAGGGGGCGAGCGUUAUCCGGAUUCACUGGGUGUAAAGGGAGCGUAGACGGCCAUGCAAGCCAGGGGUGAAAGGCCGGGGCCCAACCCCGGGACUGCCCUUGGAACUGUGCGGCUAGAGUGCGGGAGGGGUAGGCGGAAUUCGUGGUGUAGCGGUGAAAUGCGUAGAUAUCAGGAGGAACACCGGCGGCGAAGGCGGCCUGCUGGACUGCGACUGACGUUGAGGCUCGAAAGCGUGGGGAGCGAACAGGAUUAGAUACCCUUGUAGUC